UCCCUCUAAAAUUUUUUUGGCCCAAAACCCUUCCCUCUUUUGUCCCAAACUGUUCCAAAAUUUCAUCAAACAUUAAAAGCUGCUAUGUUGGAAAUGGAACGAUUGGUGCCUUACUCAAACGGAAGUUUUAAAUUGAGGUGAGAAGAGUUGAGAACAAAGUGGCGAAUGGGUGUGUAACGCAGUGCGAAUCUGCCGAACAGUCUCGGGCCAAAUCCUGAAGAAAGCUAAAAAGCGCUUUUUGAUGAGCCUAAUCAUUGUGGCGAUAAAUUGGAAGCGGUACCAUCUUUGUAUAUAUCCGUUGCACAUUUGGAUCGUGGUUGACUACACUACAGUGUUUCUUUUUCGGCCCUUGAUGUUUGUUGAUAAUGAACUUGCUCCUGGAAUGGGAUUUUAAGGACGGUGGACGCGAAACUGGAACAAACAGAUUGUAUAAUUUCUAAAGGAAGUUGCCUUCAAUAACCUUUUCCAACUUUACAAUCUAGUUAAGUAGUUCUUUUAGACAAAGCAAGGUAUAUACUUUUCUCUAUUUUCUAUUACUCUUGUAGUAAGCUGCUGGCACUAUACUCAUGGGAGAUAUUGGUCAUCAAAAUAUCUUGCAACUCGUACAAGAUUUGAUUCAGAGAAGCACAACUAGUUGGGUAGGGUUUAACUUGUACUGUCUC
Molecule: long non-coding RNA, 662 nt
Organism: Solanum stenotomum
Lineage: Eukaryota; Viridiplantae; Streptophyta; Magnoliopsida; Solanales; Solanaceae
Exons: 5
Source: RefSeq, a predicted model, not a curated record